GUCCCUAUCGUCUAAGGGUUAGGACUUUGCCUUUUCACGGCAAAAAUAUGGGUUCAAAUCCCAUUAGGAAUA
RNAcentral lists this transfer RNA (72 nucleotides) under Didymosphenia geminata (rock snot). RNAcentral's name for it is "tRNA-Glu". It matches the Rfam family "tRNA". From Rfam's summary of the family: Transfer RNA (tRNA) molecules are approximately 80 nucleotides in length. Their secondary structure includes four short double-helical elements and three loops (D, anti-codon, and T loops). Further hydrogen bonds mediate the characteristic L-shaped molecular structure. tRNAs have two regions of fundamental functional importance: the anti-codon, which is responsible for specific mRNA codon recognition, and the 3' end, to which the tRNAs corresponding amino acid is attached (by aminoacyl-tRNA synthetases). tRNAs cope with the degeneracy of the genetic code in two manners: having more than one tRNA (with a specific anti-codon) for a particular amino acid; and 'wobble' base-pairing, i.e. permitting non-standard base-pairing at the 3rd anti-codon position. The record is from RNAcentral. Lineage: Eukaryota; Bacillariophyta; Bacillariophyceae; Cymbellales; Cymbellaceae.